UUCCGGUUGAUCCUGCCGGACCCCACUGCUAUCGGGAUAGGACUAAGACAUGCUAGUCACUCCAGCCAACAGAGGCGCACAGCUCAGUAACACGUGGCUAACCUACCCUUGAGACGGAGACAUCCCCGGGAAACUGGGGCUAAUCCCCGAUAGAUGAAAACUCCUGGAAUGGGUUUUCGUCCAAAAGGUCAAGCGCUCAAGGAUGGGGCCGCGGCCGAUCAGGUUGUUGGUGAGGUAACGGCUCACCAAGCCUUUGACCGGUGCGGGCCGUGAGAGCGGGAGCCCGGAGAUGGGCACUGAGACAAGGGCCCAGGCCCUACGGGGCGCAGCAGUCGCGAAAACUCCGCAAUGCGCGAAAGCGUGACGGGGCUACCCCGAGUGCCGUCCGCUGAGGAUGGCUUUUCUCUGCUGUAAGGAGGCGGAGGAAUAAGGCGAGGGCAAGUUCUGGUGUCAGCCGCCGCGGUAAUACCAGCUCGCCGAGUGGUAGGGAUGAUUAUUGGGCCUAAAGCGUCCGUAGCUGGCUGGACAAGUCCCCUGUUAAAUCCACCGAUUUAAUCGUUGGUGUGCGGGGGAUACUGUUUGGCUAGGAGGCGGGAGAGGUCGACGGUACUUCUGGGGUAGGGGUGAAAUCCUAUAAUCCCGGGAAGACCACCAGUGGCGAAGGCUGUCGGCUAGAACGCGCCCGACGGUGAGGGAUGAAAGCUGGGGGAGCGAACCGGAUUAGAUACCCGGGUAGUCCCAGCUUAAACGAUGCAGGCUAGGUGUUUGGGCGGCCACGGGCCGCUCUAGUGCCGCAGGGAAGCUGUUAAGCCUGCCGCCUGGGGAGUACGGCCGCAAGGCUGAAACUUAAAGGAAUUGGCGGGGGAGCACCACAAGGGGUGAAGCUUGCGGUUUAAUUGGAUUCAACGCCGGA
RNAcentral lists this ribosomal RNA (913 nucleotides) under uncultured archaeon. RNAcentral describes it as "bacterial SSU rRNA". It matches the Rfam family "Archaeal small subunit ribosomal RNA", at positions 1 to 922 of the family's 1478-position model. The record is from RNAcentral.